UACGUAGGGGGCUAGCGUUGUCCGGAAUCAUUGGGCGUAAAGCGCGUGUAGGCGGUCCGGUAAGUCCGCUGUGAAAGUCGGGGGCUCAACCCUCGAAUGCCGGUGGAUACUGUCGGGCUAGAGUGCGGAAGAGGCGAGUGGAAUUCCUGGUGUAGCGGUGAAAUGCGCAGAUAUCAGGAGGAACACCAAUGGCGAAGGCAGCUCGCUGAGACGUGACUGACGCUGAGACGCGAAAGCGUGGGGAGCAAACAGG
Molecule: ribosomal RNA, 253 nt
Filed under: uncultured bacterium
Lineage: Bacteria
Description: partial 16S ribosomal RNA
Rfam family: Bacterial small subunit ribosomal RNA
Source: RNAcentral